AACCUACUCCCUCUGUCUGGAAAUACUUGACCAAAAAAUGGUUGUAUCUAGACUUAUUUCAGUUAUAGAUACAUCCAUUUUAUCCAUUUUUAGGACAAGUAUUUCCGGACAGAGGGAGUAUAUU
This is a non-coding RNA of Triticum aestivum (bread wheat), 124 nucleotides long. The record is from Rfam. Lineage: Eukaryota; Viridiplantae; Streptophyta; Magnoliopsida; Poales; Poaceae.